CGGCCGUAACUAUAACGGUCCUAAGGUAGCGAAAUUCCUUGUCGGGUAAGUUCCGACCUGCACGAAUGGCGUAACGAUCUCCACACUGUCUCGGCCAGAGACUCGGUGAAAUUGCAGUCGCGGUGAAAAUUCCGUGUACCCGCAGAAAGACGGAAAGACCCUGUGCACCUUUACUAUAGCUUGACAUUGGAUUUUGGGCCUGCAUGUGUAGGAUAGGUGGGAGGCUGUGAACCCUGUACGCCAGUAUGGGGGGAGCCAUCCUUGAAAUACCACCCUUGCAUGUUUAAGAUCCUAACUUCUUCCGGUUAUCCCGGAGAAAGACAGUGUCUGGCGGGUAGUUUGACUGGGGCGGUCGCCUCCUAAAGUGUAACGGAGGCAUGCAAAGGUUCCCUCAGCCUGAUCGGAAACCAGGCGCUGAGUGCAAACGCAUAAGGGAGCUUGACUGUAAGAGAGACAUCUCGAACAGGAACGAAAGUUGGCGUUAGUGAUCCGGUGGUCCCGUAUGGAAGGGCCAUCGCUCAUUGGAUAAAAGGUACGCCGGGGAUAACAGGCUGAUCGCAUCCAAGAGUUCACAUCGACGAUGCGGUUUGGCACCUCGAUGUCGGCUCAUCACAUCCUGGGGCUGAAGCAGGUCCCAAGGGUACGGCUGUUCGCCGUUUAAAGUGGUACGCGAGCUGGGUUUAAAACGUCGUGAGACAGUUUGGUCCCUAUCUUCUGUGGGCGCUGGAGAAUUGAAAGGGCCUGUCCCUAGUACGAGAGGACCGGGAUGGACGCACCCCUGGUGGACCUGUUGUCGUGCCAACGGCACAGCAGGGUAGCUAUGUGCGGAAGGGAUAACCGCUGAAAGCAUCUAAGCGGGAAGCCUGCCUUAAGAUAAGUUCUCCCUGGAGCAAUCCCUGAAGGGCCGAGGUAGACUACCUCGUCGAUAGGCUGGAGGUGGAAGCGCCGCGAGGCGUGGAGCUGACCAGUACUAAUAGCCCGUGCGGCUUGUUUGA
RNAcentral lists this ribosomal RNA (995 nucleotides) under human gut metagenome. RNAcentral describes it as "bacterial LSU rRNA". It matches the Rfam family "Bacterial large subunit ribosomal RNA", at positions 1931 to 2925 of the family's 2925-position model. The record is from RNAcentral.